RNAcentral lists this ribosomal RNA (471 nucleotides) under uncultured Anoxybacillus sp. RNAcentral's name for it is "bacterial SSU rRNA". It matches the Rfam family "Bacterial small subunit ribosomal RNA", at positions 916 to 1381 of the family's 1533-position model. Lineage: Bacteria; Bacillati; Bacillota; Bacilli; Caryophanales; Anoxybacillaceae. The record is from RNAcentral.
GACGGGGCCCGCACAAGCGGUGGAGUUAUGUGGUUUAAUUCGACGCAACGCGCAGAACCUUACCAGGUCUUGACAUCCCCUGACAACCCGAGAGAUCGGGCGUUCCCCUUCGGGGGACAGGGUGACAGGUGGUGCAUGGUUGUCGUCAGCUCGUGUCGUGAGAUGUUGGGUUAAGUCCCGCAACGAGCGCAACCCUCGACCUUAGUUGCCAGCAUUCAGUUGGGCACUCUAAGGUGACUGCCGGCUAAAAGUCGGAGGAAGUGGGGAUGACGUCAAAUCAUCAUGCCCCUUAUGACCUGGGCUACACACGUGCUACAAUGGGCGGUACAAAGGGUCGCGAACCCGCGAGGGGGAGCCCAAUCCCAAAAAGCCGCUCUCAGUUCGGAUUGCAGGCUGCAACUCGCCUGCAUGGAGCCGGAAUCGCUAGUAAUCGCGGAUCAGCAUGCCGCGGUGAAUACGUUCCCGGGCCUU